AGAAUCUUUCGCAAUGCCCGAAAGGGUGACGAAGCGACGCCGCGUGUGGGAAGAAGGCCUUCGGGUUGUAAACCACUGUCGGGAGUUAGGAAAUGUAAGGGUGUUAAUAGUAUCCUUACUUGACUAAGGCUCCGGAGGAAGCCACGGCUAACUCUGUGCCAGCAGCCGCGGUAAUACAGAGGCGGCAAGCGUUGUUCGGAAUUAUUGGGCGUAAAGAGCACGUAGGCGGCCUUGUAAGUCAGUUGUGAAAGCCUUCUGCUUAACGGAAGAACAGCAGCUGAUACUGCAAGGCUAGAGUGCGGAAGGGGAGAGUGAAACUUCUGGUGGAGCGGUGAAAUGCGUAGAUAUCAGAAGGAACACCGGCGGCGAAGGCGACUCUCUGGUCCGUAACUGACGCUGAGUGUGCGAAAGCUAGGGGAGCAAACGGGAUUAGAUACCCCGGUAGUCCUAGCCGUAAACGAUGGGCACUAAGUAGAGGGGUUUUGAUUAUCUCUCUGCCGGAGCUAACGCAUUAAGUGCCCCGCCUGGGGAGUACGGCCGCAAGGCUAAAACUCAAAAGAAUUGACGGGGGCUCGCACAAGCGGUGGAGCAUGUGGCUUAAUUCGAUGCAACGCGAAGAACCUUACCSGGGKUUKACAUGGUAGAAGUAGGAGCCUGAAAGGGUGACGAACGGUAUCCAGUCCGUGACUAUCACAGGUGUUGCAUGGCUG
RNAcentral lists this ribosomal RNA (710 nucleotides) under uncultured anaerobic ammonium-oxidizing bacterium. Its description in RNAcentral is "bacterial SSU rRNA". It matches the Rfam family "Bacterial small subunit ribosomal RNA", at positions 358 to 1051 of the family's 1533-position model. The record is from RNAcentral.